UUAAGCGACUAAGCGUACACGGUGGAUGCCCUGGCAGUCAGAGGCGAUGAAGGACGUGCUAAUCUGCGAUAAGCGUCGGUAAGGUGAUAUGAACCGUUAUAACCGGCGAUUUCCGAAUGGGGAAACCCAGUGUGUUUCGACACACUAUCAUUAACUGAAUCCAUAGGUUAAUGAGGCGAACCGGGGGAACUGAAACAUCUAAGUACCCCGAGGAAAAGAAAUCAACCGAGAUUCCCCCAGUAGCGGCGAGCGAACGGGGAGCAGCCCAGAGCCUGAAUCAGUAUGUGUGUUAGUGGAAGCGUCUGGAAAGGCGCGCGAUACAGGGUGACAGCCCCGUACACAAAAAUGCACAUGCUGUGAGCUCGAUGAGUAGGGCGGGACACGUGGUAUCCUGUCUGAAUAUGGGGGGACCAUCCUCCAAGGCUAAAUACUCCUGACUGACCGAUAGUGAACCAGUACCGUGAGGGAAAGGCGAGAAGAACCCCGGCGAGGGGAGUGAAAAAGAACCUGAAACCGUGUACGUACAAGCAGUGGGAGCACGCUUAGGCGUGUGACUGCGUACCUUUUGUAUAAUGGGUCAGCGACUUAUAUUCUGUAGCAAGGUUAACCGAAUAGGGGAGCCGAAGGGAAACCGAGUCUUAACUGGGCGUUAAGUUGCAGGGUAUAGACCCGAAACCCGGUGAUCUAGCCAUGGGCAGGUUGAAGGUUGGGUAACACUAACUGGAGGACCGAACCGACUAAUGUUGAAAAAUUAGCGGAUGACUUGUGGCUGGGGGUGAAAGGCCAAUCAAACCGGGAGAUAGCUGGUUCUCCCCGAAAGCUAUUUAGGUAGCGCCUCGUGAACUCAUCUCCGGGGGUAGAGCACUGUUUCGGCAAGGGGGUCAUCCCGACUUACCAACCCGAUGCAAACUGCGAAUACCGGAGAAUGUUAUCACGGGAGACACACGGCGGGUGCUAACGUCCGUCGUGAAGAGGGAAACAACCCAGACCGCCAGCUAAGGUCCCAAAGUCAUGGUUAAGUGGGAAACGAUGUGGGAAGGCCCAGACAGCCAGGAUGUUGGCUUAGAAGCAGCCAUCAUUUAAAGAAAGCGUAAUAGCUCACUGGUCGAGUCGGCCUGCGCGGAAGAUGUAACGGGGCUAAACCAUGCACCGAAGCUGCGGCAGCGACACUAUGUGUUGUUGGGUAGGGGAGCGUUCUGUAAGCCUGUGAAGGUGUGCUGUGAGGCAUGCUGGAGGUAUCAGAAGUGCGAAUGCUGACAUAAGUAACGAUAAAGCGGGUGAAAAGCCCGCUCGCCGGAAGACCAAGGGUUCCUGUCCAACGUUAAUCGGGGCAGGGUGAGUCGACCCCUAAGGCGAGGCCGAAAGGCGUAGUCGAUGGGAAACAGGUUAAUAUUCCUGUACUUGGUGUUACUGCGAAGGGGGGACGGAGAAGGCUAUGUUGGCCGGGCGACGGUUGUCCCGGUUUAAGCGUGUAGGCUGGUUUUCCAGGCAAAUCCGGAAAAUCAAGGCUGAGGCGUGAUGACGAGGCACUACGGUGCUGAAGCAACAAAUGCCCUGCUUCCAGGAAAAGCCUCUAAGCAUCAGGUAACAUCAAAAUCGUACCCCAAAACCGACACAGGUGGUCAGGUAGAGAAUACCAAGGCGCUUGAGAGAACUCGGGUGAAGGAACUAGGCAAAAAUGGUGCCGUAACUUCGGGAGAAGGCACGCUGAUAUGUAGGUGAAGCGACUUGCUCGUGGAGCUGAAAUCAGUCGAAGAUACCAGCUGGCUGCAACUGUUUAUUAAAACACAGCACUGUGCAAACACGAAAGUGGACGUAUACGGUGUGACGCCUGCCCGGUGCCGGAAGGUUAAUUGAUGGGGUUAGCGCAAGCGAAGCUCUUGAUCGAAGCCCCGGUAAACGGCGGCCGUAACUAUAACGGUCCUAAGGUAGCGAAAUUCCUUGUCGGGUAAGUUCCGACCUGCACGAAUGGCGUAAUGAUGGCCAGGCUGUCUCCACCCGAGACUCAGUGAAAUUGAACUCGCUGUGAAGAUGCAGUGUACCCGCGGCAAGACGGAAAGACCCCGUGAACCUUUACUAUAGCUUGACACUGAACAUUGAGCCUUGAUGUGUAGGAUAGGUGGGAGGCUUUGAAGUGUGGACGCCAGUCUGCAUGGAGCCGACCUUGAAAUACCACCCUUUAAUGUUUGAUGUUCUAACGUUGACCCGUAAUCCGGGUUGCGGACAGUGUCUGGUGGGUAGUUUGACUGGGGCGGUCUCCUCCUAAAGAGUAACGGAGGAGCACGAAGGUUGGCUAAUCCUGGUCGGACAUCAGGAGGUUAGUGCAAUGGCAUAAGCCAGCUUGACUGCGAGCGUGACGGCGCGAGCAGGUGCGAAAGCAGGUCAUAGUGAUCCGGUGGUUCUGAAUGGAAGGGCCAUCGCUCAACGGAUAAAAGGUACUCCGGGGAUAACAGGCUGAUACCGCCCAAGAGUUCAUAUCGACGGCGGUGUUUGGCACCUCGAUGUCGGCUCAUCACAUCCUGGGGCUGAAGUAGGUCCCAAGGGUAUGGCUGUUCGCCAUUUAAAGUGGUACGCGAGCUGGGUUUAGAACGUCGUGAGACAGUUCGGUCCCUAUCUGCCGUGGGCGCUGGAGAACUGAGGGGGGCUGCUCCUAGUACGAGAGGACCGGAGUGGACGCAUCACUGGUGUUCGGGUUGUCAUGCCAAUGGCACUGCCCGGUAGCUAAAUGCGGAAGAGAUAAGUGCUGAAAGCAUCUAAGCACGAAACUUGCCCCGAGAUGAGUUCUCCCUGACUCCUUGAGAGUCCUGAAGGAACGUUGAAGACGACGACGUUGAUAGGCCGGGUGUGUAAGCGCAGCGAUGCGUUGAGCUAACCGGUACUAAUGAACCGUGAGGCUUAACCUU
This 2903-nucleotide ribosomal RNA is filed under the name Escherichia coli DEC6D. Its description in RNAcentral is "bacterial LSU rRNA". It matches the Rfam family "Bacterial large subunit ribosomal RNA". The record is from RNAcentral. Lineage: Bacteria; Pseudomonadati; Pseudomonadota; Gammaproteobacteria; Enterobacterales; Enterobacteriaceae.